This 400-nucleotide ribosomal RNA is filed under the name uncultured archaeon. RNAcentral's name for it is "bacterial SSU rRNA". It matches the Rfam family "Archaeal small subunit ribosomal RNA", at positions 476 to 876 of the family's 1478-position model. The record is from RNAcentral.
CCGGCGCCUCAAGUGGUAGUCGAUUUUAUUGGGCCUAAAACGUCCGUCGCCUGUUUGGUACAUUCGUGGGUAAAUCAACCAGCUCAACUGGUUGAAUUCUGCGAGCACGGCCAGACUUGGGACCGGGAGAGGUGUGGGGUACGCUCAGGGUAGGGGUAAAAUCCUGUCAUCCUGAGCGGACCACCUGUUGCGAAGGCUCCACACUAGAACGGAUCCGACGGUCAGGGACGAAGCCUAGGGGCACGAACCGGAUUAGAUACCCGGGUAGUCCUAGGUGUAAACGCUGUGGACUUGGUGUUGGGAAGGUUCCGAGCCUUCUCAGUGCCGAAGCGAAGGUGAUAAGUCCACUGCCUGGGGAGUACGGUCGCAAGGCUGAAACUUAAAGGAAUUGGCGGGGGAG